This is an RNA transcript of Onychostoma macrolepis, 1984 nucleotides long. It is a transcript of the gene named neuroplastin a, with no coding region annotated. The transcript has 8 exons. NCBI's taxonomy places the organism in Eukaryota, Metazoa, Chordata, Actinopteri, Cypriniformes, Cyprinidae. The record is from RefSeq and is a predicted model, not a curated record.
UGCGUGACCCUAUUCUAGCUCCAGCAGGGUCGCCUCGUCAUUGUAGCAGCUCCCUCUCACUCACAUCCUCCUCGACAGCCCUCUUCUCCUCCCGCUCCUCCGCAUCCCUCCACACAUACCCAGGUAGCCAGACGACCUAGAAAAUGUCUUACGCGGGGAAUGCGCUGGUGAUAUUAUUCGGAGUCCUGAUGCUGCAUUCGGGCUUCGCUCAGAACGAACCAUCAAUUGAGUCAACGGAUCACAUGAUUCUACCCAUGGGUUACCACAGCCCACCAAUCACGCUUCAGUGCAACCUUACAGCUUCCCAAAGUAAACACCAAGAGAGCUUCUGGAUGAAGAACGGGGAGGAGAUCCCUGACACAAGGGGCAAUGACAAAAACACAGAAUACAAACUUAAUAAACCAAGGCCAGAGGAUUCGGGCGAGUAUAUGUGUGUGUACACGUUCGAUUCGGCCCCCGCAGCAAAUGCCACUAUUGAGGUAAAAGCUACACCAGACAUCACGGGGCACAAGCGCAGCGAGAAUAAGAAUGAGGGUGAAAAAGCUGUCCUCUACUGCAAAUCCAUGGGUUAUCCUUAUCCCAUGUGGAGCUGGCGCAAACUUGAUAACGGCGUCAGUAUGGAAAUUGACAACGCCUCUGGCCGCUUCUUCAUCAGCAGCAAGGAUGGCUACACCGAGCUGUCCAUCAUCAACCUAGACAUCAACUCCGACCCCGGAGAGUACGAGUGCAACGCCACCAACAUUAUCGGCUCCAACUCCAUGCCAUCAGUUCUGCGCGUCAGGAGCCGCCUGGCCCCCCUGUGGCCCCUGCUGGGGGUCCUCGCCGAGAUCAUCAUUCUGGUGCUGAUCAUCGUCAUCUACGAGAAGCGCAAGAAGCCUGAUGAUGUUCCAGACGGUGAGUUUAAAAGGAUGACGAACCAGCUGGGCCAAUGAAAACUAAUUCCACCAACAACCACAAAGAUAAAAACCUACGUCAGAGAAAUACAAAUUGAUUUCAUUAUCACAAGAUUAAGACAUUCACAUCAUGACCACAUGAACGUUACUCAUGAACAGCACAUUGGUAAUCAAAUCAAAGGUGGAGGAGUUAAAUGGAAGACCGGAAGAAAUGAGCACCUGAGGCAUGCCUUAUAAAUCUGGUGUGAGGAGGAAGAGAGAACAGAACGGAACCUGAUUCUGAACAUUUUCUUGCAUGAUUGUGUUGCUUUUUCUUUAGAAUCACUUUUAUUCAAGUCAACUUUUUCCAUGUCAGACAAAAGUACAAAAAUAAUAAUUGCAUGCAAGAUAAUUACUGUUUGAUACAGGCUUUUUUUUUUUUUUUUGUGUAUUUAUGAAUGACUUCUGUUCAAGCAAGCCUUUAACUUAUCGCAAAUAUGCCACCAUGAUUCUGGUAUGACAGUUUUUGUACAGAUUAUCAUAUUACUGUAUACCAUUUGGUAAGGUGGCAUAUGAUUCUAUCAAUCAAUUAAGGGCUUUGCGAAAUGUCCUGCCAUGUUUAAUUUGUACAUGUAUUGUACAUUGAUGUAUGAAAUCACUUGAAAUAUCUAUAGUUACCUGAAUGUUCUUCAUAAUGAUGCACUUAUCUCUUCAAAUAUUCUUGCAAACCAGUGACUUCAUUUUAUACUUAUGUACCUUAUCUGUCUCUAAGUCAACAUGGCUGAUUGCUUUUUAUGUAUGCAUAGUAUACAGCAUGGCUUUUAUUCUAUGCAAUAUCUAUACAUACAGUAGAACAAACCUUUUUUUUUUUUUAAUGUAAGCUUUUGGUUGUGUAUAAUUAAGCUUUAAUAUUAUACGUUAGCAAAGUGCACUGUUCAAGCCAUGAAAAACAAUCCACAUGGUUUAAAACAUCACUGCAUGAGCUCCUUACACAUAUAAAGGGUCUAUUAAGUCAGAAUGUGAAGAGAAAUUAAUAUUAUCUCAAUUGACUAAGGCAUAUACAUGUCAUUUUUAACAAUUAAAAUAUCCAAAUUCAAAUGCGUUGUCCUUUU